This is a long non-coding RNA of Danio aesculapii, 489 nucleotides long. RefSeq lists it as uncharacterized. The record is from RefSeq and is a predicted model, not a curated record. The transcript has 4 exons. Lineage: Eukaryota; Metazoa; Chordata; Actinopteri; Cypriniformes; Danionidae.
GUUGUGAAUUACUUCUGAAGACAAGUGCAAUCAGAGGCAGCAUUACCCAUAGGAUGAUAGAAAGGCCAGAAAUAAGACAGAAUGCCCAAGCAUACUGCCCAAGAGGCAUUUCAAGUUGGCCACCAAGUGAAGACCAGUCUGCCGACGUACAUGGCGAGCUAACGGGACAAACUGGUUACAGUGGGAAAGCUGUUCAUACGGAGGAGAGAUGAGAGAUGCAGGAGUCCAGUGGAUGAUGUAGGGGAAACACCUCUGCUUCAUGUCUAUGACACCUUCAAUAACGCUUUGAGGUAUAGUUAUGAUACAUAAACAACAGGAACAUCUGCCUUACACCGCCUGGCUGAGCACUAACAAACUACAAAACAAAGGGAUUGUGCCAAGGAAUGAGAGCGUAUGCUAGAAAAGACAAUGAAAUGUAAUCAAGGGCAAAAUUGCAGAAUGAUUCAGUGCUUGUUGUGCUUCCCCAAGUGAACAAAGUAAAGGCUUCAA